UACGUAGGUGGCAAGCGUUGUCCGGAAUUAUUGGGCGUAAAGCGCGCGCAGGCGGUCCUUUAAGUCUGAUGUGAAAGCCCACGGCUCAACCGUGGAGGGUCAUUGGAGACUGGAGGACUUGAGUACAGAAGAGAAGAGUGGAAUUCCACGUGUAGCGGUGAAAUGCGUAGAGAUGUGGAGGAACACCAGUGGCGAAGGCGACUCUUUGGUCUGUAACUGACGCUGAGGCGCGAAAGCGUGGGGAGCAAACAGG
Molecule: ribosomal RNA, 253 nt
Filed under: uncultured bacterium
Lineage: Bacteria
Description: partial 16S ribosomal RNA
Rfam family: Bacterial small subunit ribosomal RNA
Source: RNAcentral